UUUAAACACUCAGAUCUUUGAAUUUGAACUCAGAACAUUCCACUUCUGUUAUUCAUAUCGGAUGCCACUCAACAAGCUUGGCUGAUGAGUCCGACUGCCAACCUUUACAAUAUAGUGAUGCUGAAGAAGGCGUGGAGAAUGAAUAUUUGGAAGUUCAACCCGGAAACAGAAGCAAAUCAUCUAUGCAUGUUAACCAAGACACAGAAAGUUCAAAUUUUAUUGAUGAUCACAUUGCAGAUUUGAUUACACAGGACACUGUACUGUUGGUGUACCAGAAAAAUCUUAUGCAACUAGUACAACACUGCAAUUUUUCAGUUUGUCGCAUAUGUGGGAUGGAGCCACAGCAUUCCAUUCAACAGUCUGGAUCUUGCAUCACAUUACUAUGGGUGUGCUCAAGGGGUCACACAGUCUACAAAUGGUCCAGCCAGCCUCAAAUAAAGAGUGGUUUAAAUGCCGGAGAUUUAAUGCUUGCUGCUGCAACUACUCUCACAGGCAACAACUAUGCCAAGAUUUCAUUGUUAGCAAGGUGUUUAAGUCUACCUUUUAUAUCUCGUUCUGCCUUUUUCCGGUACCAACACCUAUACAUCAUCCCUGUAAUCAAUAACUACUGGGAGGGGAUGGUGAGCAGAAUGCUUGCUGAACGUCAAAAUGCUGCAGUUGCAGUCAUGGGUAUUCACUAUGCCUAUCUUAAUUAUUUUUUUAAUUUGUUUUGGAACAGUAAUUUGAAACCUCAUCAAGUCUUUACACAUCUUCUUCUCUUCAUGCAGGUGAUGCAAGGAUGGACAGUCCAGGCCAUUCAGCUCAGUAUUGUACAUACACAUGCAUGGAUCUGAACACCAAGGAAGUACUCAUGAUGACUGUUGUUGACAAACGGGAAACAGAGCUGUGCUCCUCUAAAAUGGAGAAAGUGGCAUUUGAAAGAUGCAUGAACAAGUUCAUAGAGUCUAAUGUCAGUGUGGAUGAGGUGGUCACUGAUGCACAUUCUCAAAUAGCGAAACUCAUGCGUAAGUAUCCACAAAUUUAACCGAAAUUGAACUAUUUGAUAUUGAAA
Molecule: long non-coding RNA, 1051 nt
Organism: Protopterus annectens (West African lungfish)
Lineage: Eukaryota; Metazoa; Chordata; Ceratodontiformes; Protopteridae
Exons: 3
Source: RefSeq, a predicted model, not a curated record